AGUGAACGCUAGCGGCAGGCUUAAUACAUGCAAGUGAGGGGCAGCAUGAUAUACGCGAGUAUAUUGAUGGCGACCGGCGGACGGGUGAGUAAUAGGUAGGAGACCUACCUCAUACAGGGGGAUAGCAUAGAGAAAUCUGUGGUAAUACCCCAUGAGGUUAUAUGAAUAGAGGCAUAUAAUCAAAGCAUAAGCGAUUAUGCGGUAUGAGAGGGGCCUACUGACCAUUAGCUAGUUGGUGAGGUAAGGGCUCACCAAGGCGAAGAUGGUUAGGGGUUUUGAGAGAGAGACCCCCCCACAUUGGAACUGAGAGACGGUCCAGACUCCUACGGGAGGCAGCAGUAGGGAAUAUUGGGCAAUGGGCGAAAGCCUGACCCAGCCAUGCCGCGUGAAGGAAGACGGCCUUAUGGGUUGUAAACUUCUUUACUACGCGAAUAGAGGUUAGUACGAGAUACUAAUAGGAAGGUAGUGUAGUAAAAAAGCACCGGCUAACUCCGUG
RNAcentral lists this ribosomal RNA (496 nucleotides) under uncultured bacterium. RNAcentral describes it as "bacterial SSU rRNA". It matches the Rfam family "Bacterial small subunit ribosomal RNA", at positions 29 to 507 of the family's 1533-position model. The record is from RNAcentral.